AGCGAACGCUGGCGGCAGGCCUAAUACAUGCAAGUCGAACGCACCUUCGGGUGAGUGGCGGACGGGUGAGUAACGCGUGGGAACGUGCCCUUUGGUUCGGAACAACACAGGGAAACUUGUGCUAAUACCGAAUGUGCCCCUUCGGGGAAAGAUUUAUCGCCAUUGGAGCGGCCCGCGUUGGAUUAGCUAGUUGGUGGGGUAAAGGCCCACCAAGGCUACGAUCCAUAGCUGGUCUGAGAGGANGAUCAGCCACACUGGACUGAGACACGGCCCAGACUCCUACGGGAGGCGGCAGUAGGGAAUCUUGCGCAAUGGGCGAAAGCCUGACGCAGCCAUGCCGCGU
Molecule: ribosomal RNA, 343 nt
Filed under: uncultured bacterium
Lineage: Bacteria
Description: bacterial SSU rRNA
Rfam family: Bacterial small subunit ribosomal RNA
Source: RNAcentral